This 292-nucleotide ribosomal RNA is filed under the name uncultured bacterium. RNAcentral's name for it is "partial 16S ribosomal RNA". It matches the Rfam family "Bacterial small subunit ribosomal RNA", at positions 505 to 796 of the family's 1533-position model. The record is from RNAcentral.
GUGUCAGCAGCCGCGGUAAUACGAGGUGGACAAACGUUAUUCGGAUUUACUGGGCUUAAAGCGUGCGUAGGCGGCUCAGAAAGUUGGGUGUGAAAGCCCUCGGCUCAACCGAGGAAUUGCGCUCAAAACUACUGAGCUUGAGGGAGAUAGGGGAGAGCGGAACUGAUGGUGGAGCGGUGAAAUGCGUUGAUAUCAUCAGGAACACCGGUGGCGAAGGCGGCUCUCUGGAUCUCUUCUGACGCUGAGGCACGAAAGCUAGGGGAGCAAACGGGAUUAGAUACCCCGGUAGUCC